GCUCAGAUUGAACGCUGGCGGCAGGCCUAACACAUGCAAGUCGAACGGUAACAGGAAGCAGCUUGCUUCUUUGCUGACGAGUGGCGGACGGGUGAGUAAUGUCUGGGAAACUGCCUGAUGGAGGGGGAUAACUACUGGAAACGGUAGCUAAUACCGCAUAACGUCGCAAGACCAAAGAGGGGGACCUUCGGGCCUCUUGCCAUCGGAUGUGCCCAGAUGGGAUUAGCUAGUAGGUGGGGUAACGGCUCACCUAGGCGACGAUCCCUAGCUGGUCUGAGAGGAUGACCAGCCACACUGGAACUGAGACACGGUCCAGACUCCUACGGGAGGCAGCAGUGGGGAAUAUUGCACAAUGGGCGCAAGCCUGAUGCAGCCAUGCCGCGUGUAUGAAGAAGGCCUUCGGGUUGUAAAGUACUUUCAGCGGGGAGGAAGGGAGUAAAGUUAAUACCUUUGCUCAUUGACGUUACCCGCAGAAGAAGCACCGGCUAACUCCGUGCCAGCAGCCGCGGUAAUACGGAGGGUGCAAGCGUUAAUCGGAAUUACUGGGCGUAAAGCGCACGCAGGCGGUUUGUUAAGUCAGAUGUGAAAUCCCCGGGCUCAACCUGGGAACUGCAUCUGAUACUGGCAAGCUUGAGUCUCGUAGAGGGGGGUAGAAUUCCAGGUGUAGCGGUGAAAUGCGUAGAGAUCUGGAGGAAUACCGGUGGCGAAGGCGGCCCCCU
Molecule: ribosomal RNA, 719 nt
Filed under: Escherichia coli
Lineage: Bacteria; Pseudomonadati; Pseudomonadota; Gammaproteobacteria; Enterobacterales; Enterobacteriaceae
Description: bacterial SSU rRNA
Rfam family: Bacterial small subunit ribosomal RNA
Source: RNAcentral